CAGCCGCCACGGUAAUACGGAGGGGGCUAGCGUUGUUCGGAGUUACUGGGCGUAAAGCGCACGUAGGCUGCUUUGUAAGUCAGAGGUGAAAGCCCGGAGCUCAACUCCGGAAUUGCCUUAAAGACUGCAUCACUUGAACGUCGGAGAGGUGAGUGGAAUUCCGAGUGUAGAGGUGAAAUUCGUAGAUAUUCGGAAGAACACCAGUGGCGAAGGCGGCUCACUGGACGACUGUUGACGCUGAGGUACGAAAGCGUGGGGAGCAAACAGAAUUAGAUACCCCGGUAGUCCCUGUCUCUUAUAC
This 301-nucleotide ribosomal RNA is filed under the name uncultured bacterium. RNAcentral's name for it is "partial 16S ribosomal RNA". It matches the Rfam family "Bacterial small subunit ribosomal RNA", at positions 509 to 807 of the family's 1533-position model. The record is from RNAcentral.